Molecule: non-coding RNA, 1425 nt
Organism: Cricetulus griseus (Chinese hamster)
Lineage: Eukaryota; Metazoa; Chordata; Mammalia; Rodentia; Cricetidae
Source: RefSeq, a predicted model, not a curated record
AAAGAAAGAAAAAAAAAAAAAGCAUAUUUGACGUUAGGGGAAAAAAACCCUUUAACGCUGUAAAAGUCUCUCUGGUUAUUUUCACUUUUUGUUUUGGACAAAAAAGAAGGAGAUGAGAGGAACAUUUUUAAAACGCCAUGUAGAUCGCCUCGUGGUUAUUUUUAUUGUUUUAAAGAUAAUAACCAGAACUGCAGGAGGAUCUCUGUGACUCCCGGUCAGCCUGAGGGACAUAGUGAGACUUUGUUUUAAAGAGGUUAGAACCACGUUGGUUCUUGUAUUUGGAAGGUUUGUUUGAGGGCCUGAAGACUGCUAAGCAGCUAAAAGCACUUGCUGUUCUUCCUGAGGGCUGGACUUCUGUUCCCAACAUCCACAAGGCGGCUCACAGCCACCUGAAAUUUCAGUUCCCCCCUCCUGGCCUCCACCGGCCCUGCACAUGCAUGCGCGCAGGCAUGAGGCAAAACACCCGCACAUACAUACAUACUGGGUUAGCAGCAAACUUAAGCAACUUUUCUCGAAGGAAGAGAGACCUGCCCUGGUCAUUUGAGGAAUAGGAUGGAUGCGGUAUUGUGGACUCUGCUCAGGCUGAGCGGCAGGCAGUUAUUAAAUAAGGUGUGGCACCAGGCCUGUGACCCAGAACUUGAGAAGCUGGAGCAGAAGACAGCUGUGACCUCAAAGACCACCGAGGUUACAUAAUGAACUCAGCCUGGACAAGAGAUCACAGUCCAUCACUCAGGGGAAGUUAAAGCAGCAACUUAAGCCACUGACAUGUCACAUCUACAGUCUGGAACAGAGAGAGACGAAUGCCCUCAUGCCACCCACCAGCUCUUCGAGCUUUCUUUUAUCUUGCUGUAUUCAGAACCCCAUGCCUGCAGAAUGGUGCUGCCAAUUACCAGCCGGGGCUUUGGACAUUAGUGAUCAAGACGAUCCCUCUUGUAGGCGUGCUCACAGGCCAGCCUGAUGAAAUAAUUUCUCCACUGAAAAGCUCUCUUCUCAGGUAGUUACAGAUGAUGCCAAGUUGGCGUUUAAAGCCAACCAUCACACUAGGCAAGUAUUCUACCAACUGUAUGACACCCUGAGGCCCUGACUGAAUUUUGCAGGAGCAAAAUCAGAUGAACAUAUCUCCCUUGUGACAGGCCAACUGUUGGAACCAACAGUCCCCCAUAUUGGCAAGGACAUGGCUAUCCCAGGUCAGGAAACCUUGCUUUGAAAGGGGAAAACUAAACUCAAAGGCUUCACUUCUAAUAAUUUAGAAAUAAAGGGACCAGACUCUCAUUAAGUCCCUGAAUAGCAUCCAUGACAGGCUAUAGAAAAGACAUGUAGGCCUCUAGCACAAGAAAACUACAGAUCCUCUGGCCUCCCAGAGCCUAAGGCCAAAACCGAACACAAAGAAACUCCAUACUGCCCAUCCACCUCCCAGCCUCCUAG